This 372-nucleotide ribosomal RNA is filed under the name uncultured microorganism. RNAcentral's name for it is "bacterial SSU rRNA". It matches the Rfam family "Bacterial small subunit ribosomal RNA", at positions 346 to 702 of the family's 1533-position model. The record is from RNAcentral.
GUGCACCAGUCGCGAAUCUUCCACAAUGGGGAAACCCUGAUGGAGCGACGCCGCGUGCGGGAUGAAGGCCCUAUGGGUUGUAAACCGCUGUUCAGUGGAAAGAACAUCCUCCGGCUGAAUAGGUCGGAGGCCUGACGUUACCACUGCAGAAAGUCCCGGCCAACUCCGUGCCAGCAGCCGCGGUAAUACGGGGGGACGGAGCGUUGUCCGGAAUCAUUGGGCGGUAAAGGGACGGCGUAGGCGGCGAGGAAAGUACGAAUAGUGAAAUCUUGCGGCUCAACUGCAAAACUAGCGUUCGAAACUUACCUCGCUUGAGUAUGAGAGAGGUGUGCGGAAUUCCUGGUGUAGCGGUGGAAUGCGUAGGUAUCAGGA